GCGGAAGUGGUGAAAUGGCAGACACGCCAUCUUGAGGGGGUGGUGCACGGUAGUGCAUGGGGGUUCAAGUCCCCCUUUCCGCA
Molecule: transfer RNA, 83 nt
Filed under: Kapaibacterium sp. (SeqCode)
Lineage: Bacteria; Pseudomonadati; Bacteroidota; Eximiradiia; Eximiradiales; Kapaibacteriaceae (SeqCode)
Description: tRNA-Leu
Rfam family: tRNA
About the family: Transfer RNA (tRNA) molecules are approximately 80 nucleotides in length. Their secondary structure includes four short double-helical elements and three loops (D, anti-codon, and T loops).
Source: RNAcentral